RNAcentral lists this ribosomal RNA (404 nucleotides) under uncultured Paracoccus sp. Its description in RNAcentral is "bacterial SSU rRNA". It matches the Rfam family "Bacterial small subunit ribosomal RNA", at positions 355 to 776 of the family's 1533-position model. The record is from RNAcentral. Lineage: Bacteria; Pseudomonadati; Pseudomonadota; Alphaproteobacteria; Rhodobacterales; Paracoccaceae.
UGGGGAAUCUUAGACAAUGGGGGCAACCCUGAUCUAGCCAUGCCGCGUGAGUGAUGAAGGCCUUAGGGUUGUAAAGCUCUUUCAGCUGGGAAGAUAAUGACGGUACCAGCAGAAGAAGUCCCGGCUAACUCCGUGCCAGCAGCCGCGGUAAUACGGAGGGGACUAGCGUUGUUCGGAAUUACUGGGCGUAAAGCGCACGUAGGCGGACCAGAAAGUUGGGGGUGAAAUCCCGGGGCUCAACCCCGGAACUGCCUUCAAAACUAUUGGUCUGGAGUUCGAGAGAGGUGAGUGGAAUUCCGAGUGUAGAGGUGAAAUUCGUAGAUAUUCGGAGGAACACCAGUGGCGAAGGCGGCUCACUGGCUCGAUACUGACGCUGAGGUGCGAAAGCGUGGGGAGCAAACAGG